AAGGGUUAGGGCAGCAGUGGAGUAGUAACGUUACGAGGCAGAGAGCCAGUCGCUAAAUAAGUCAAAUUAACUUCAUGCUUCAUCCACGCAAAGCAUGUUGCUAUCUCCACGAGUGACAGCUUUUUUCAGCUCGUUUUCUGUGAACGAUGUGGCGACGGGGUAACGUUAAGGUGGAGUUAGCAAGCUAAUGUUAGCCAACUAACACCGGCUGGCUGGCUUGCUCGUUCCGCCGUGUUUUUAUGCUGCAUCGGUUACAGAGAAUGAGCUGAACAGCGGGCUGGGUCUGACGUUAGCUGUCCGCUGACCCACUGCCGCUGGGUCUAACGUUAGCGGUCCGCUGACCCGCUGCCGCUGGUUCUAACGUUAGCGGUCCGCUGAUCCGCUGCCGCUAGGUCUAACGUUAGCCGCCCGCUGCCCCGGAUUGUGGGGAAAGAAAUGUAUUUGUUUCAAAU
This is a long non-coding RNA of Sander lucioperca (pikeperch), 452 nucleotides long. RefSeq lists it as uncharacterized. The transcript is spliced from 3 exons. NCBI's taxonomy places the organism in Eukaryota, Metazoa, Chordata, Actinopteri, Perciformes, Percidae. The record is from RefSeq and is a predicted model, not a curated record.